This 299-nucleotide long non-coding RNA is filed under the name Nicotiana benthamiana. Its description in RNAcentral is "long non-coding RNA (NBEN_LNC008989)". Lineage: Eukaryota; Viridiplantae; Streptophyta; Magnoliopsida; Solanales; Solanaceae. The record is from RNAcentral.
UCAGUCAUGGACCAGGUCCAUCAUGUGAGACACAGUAUUUAUCAACCUAUAAAUGUGAGAUGCACAUGAAGAAGAUAAGUCUCAAGGAUCAAGCAGCAGUUAAAGGAUAAUGUUGGAGUUUGUAUUGUUCUAGGACUCAAAUUUGAUGGAAGAUCAAUAAUUGAGUCUCAAUUAAACUCUGAUUACUAACUCAUUAAAUAACAGUGAAUGUUCUCUUUAAUAGGUAUUACACAUACGCAGAAGUUAAACUAAAUUGAGAGCAAAAGAGCAAGGCACUUCUGCAAGCAAUUUAAGUGAUA